This 404-nucleotide ribosomal RNA is filed under the name Esquamula lacrimiformis. Its description in RNAcentral is "partial small subunit ribosomal RNA". It matches the Rfam family "Eukaryotic small subunit ribosomal RNA", at positions 30 to 432 of the family's 1831-position model. The record is from RNAcentral. Lineage: Eukaryota; Cercozoa; Imbricatea; Thaumatomonadida.
GCUUGUCUCAAAGAUUAAGCCAUGCAUGUGUAAGAAUAAACAAAUUUUAUUCUGUGAAUCUGCGUACAGCUCAUUAUAUCAGUAAUUAUUUAUUUGAUGGUAAUUCUAUAUGGAUACCCGUAGUAAUUCUAGAGCUAAUACAUGCGUAAAGUCCCAACUCUUACGGGAAGGGAUGUAUUUAUUAGUUAAAAAAUCAAUGCAGGCUCUGCCUGGUUUUGUGGUGAAUCAUAGUAACUGUUCGAAUCGCAGCCUCGUGCCGCGAUAGUUCAUUCAAAUUUCUGCCCUAUCAGCUUUCGACGGUAGUGUAGUGGACUACCGUGGCGUUAACGGGUAACGGAGAAUUAGGGUUCGAUUCCGGAGAGGGAGCCUGAGAAACGGCUACCACAUCCAAGGAAGGCAGCAGG